This 719-nucleotide ribosomal RNA is filed under the name Microbotryum betonicae. Its description in RNAcentral is "eukaryotic LSU rRNA". The stretch from base 239 to 392 matches the Rfam family "5.8S ribosomal RNA". The record is from RNAcentral. Lineage: Eukaryota; Fungi; Basidiomycota; Microbotryomycetes; Microbotryales; Microbotryaceae.
UCUUGGUCAUUUAGAGGAAGUAAAAGUCGUAACAAGGUUUCCGUAGGUGAACCUGCGGAAGGAUCAUUAGUGAAUUUUUAGCGUACCUGUUUAACCAGGGCGUGACCUCUCACUUUUCAAACUCUGUGCACCAUUAUGUGGCGAGGAAAGGAUCGGGCUAACCCCCUUUCUGGAACUUGCGGCUCAUUUUAUUAAACAUUAAAGUCAAUGUAUGUCAAAGAAAUUUAAUAACAAAAAAAACUUUCAACAACGGAUCUCUUGGCUCUCGCAUCGAUGAAGAACGCAGCGAAAUGUGAUAAGUAAUGUGAAUUGCAGAAUUCAGUGAAUCAUCGAAUCUUUGAACGCAUCUUGCGCUCGCUGGUAUUCCGGCGAGCAUGUCUGUUUGAGUGUCGUGAACUCUUCAACCCCCAAUUUUUCUUUAUUGAGAUUUUGGCGCGGCUUGGUUUCUGAACGCCUUGCUGGAUACACCUUCCCCGCUUGCGGGGUCGGCAAUCGAAGCUCGUUCGUAAUACAUUAGCAUCCUAAUCUUUGAGAUCAGAUUGACUCGGCGUAAUAGACUAUUCGCUGAGGACAUGGCGCCCCGUAAAAAAGGGAGUUGUGGCUGGACUUGGAAAGUUGGAAGCUUACAAAACCCGACAAUUUAGUCAAUCAUUUUUAAGAUUAGACCUCAGAUCAGGCAGGAUUACCCGCUGAACUUAAGCAUAUCAAUAAGCGGAGGA